RNAcentral lists this ribosomal RNA (298 nucleotides) under uncultured Sphingomonadaceae bacterium. RNAcentral describes it as "partial 16S ribosomal RNA". It matches the Rfam family "Bacterial small subunit ribosomal RNA", at positions 111 to 426 of the family's 1533-position model. Lineage: Bacteria; Pseudomonadati; Pseudomonadota; Alphaproteobacteria; Sphingomonadales; Sphingomonadaceae. The record is from RNAcentral.
UAACGCGUGGGAAUCUGCCCUCAGGUUCGGAAUAACGACGGGAAACUGUCGCUAAUACCGAAUAAGCCCUUCGGGGGAAAGAUUUAUCGCUGAUAGAUGAGCCCGCGUACGAUUAGCUAGUUGGUGAGGUAAUGGCUCACCAAGGCUACGAUCGUUAGCUGGUCUGAGAGGAUGAUCAGCCACACUGGGACUGAGACACGGCCCAGACUCCUACGGGAGGCAGCAGUGGGGAAUAUUGGACAAUGGGCGAAAGCCUGAUCCAGCAAUGCCGCGUGAGUGAUGAAGGCCUUAGGGUUGU